GUGGAUGUGGAGAUGGAUCUGUGAAGAGCUUUGGCGAGUAUGUCACUGUCGUGAUCAGGAAGUAACCAGGAGUCGAUGUUGAAGCUUUGUCGGAACGACCAAGGCUCAACGCUCGCUAAUCCAUCAGACGACGCCAUGUUUUUACGGAGUAUUUUUUUUUAACCACAGUGAAAUUCGAGUUCUAAGACGGUGAAAAACGAAUAUAGAAUUUUGGAGCUCUCUUGUUUUUUUUUGUAGGAGUGGGGGAUGAAGUUAGAGAGUGAAAGAAUGAAGGCGGAGGAGAGAUAAUAAAUAGGACGGCGGAGAGGGGGAGGGUGGAGAGAGAAAACGCGUAGAGAGGAGAGAGAGAUAAAGUAAGACACGCGUCAGCAGUGUUGUACGGAUGUCUGACUCAGCUCUGUUUGGUCUACGGUCUUAAUUGAUUAAACCCAUGAGUCCAUGACCCAACUUAUCCCGUAUUAAUUAACGAUAAUGACGUCCCCAAUCUUCAUACUUGAGGUCGGAUGUCCAGAGUUAUUUUUAGCGUUAUUAAUUGCAUCAUUCUUAUUCAUUUUUAUUAAGUUAUAAAAUUUGUAAUCUUAUACAAUAAAGUAGACUCUGCUC
RNAcentral lists this long non-coding RNA (603 nucleotides) under Brassica napus (rape). Its description in RNAcentral is "long non-coding RNA (BNAP_LNC003337)". The record is from RNAcentral. Lineage: Eukaryota; Viridiplantae; Streptophyta; Magnoliopsida; Brassicales; Brassicaceae.